This 86-nucleotide transfer RNA is filed under the name Pirellulaceae bacterium. RNAcentral's name for it is "tRNA-Leu". It matches the Rfam family "tRNA". From Rfam's summary of the family: Transfer RNA (tRNA) molecules are approximately 80 nucleotides in length. Their secondary structure includes four short double-helical elements and three loops (D, anti-codon, and T loops). Further hydrogen bonds mediate the characteristic L-shaped molecular structure. tRNAs have two regions of fundamental functional importance: the anti-codon, which is responsible for specific mRNA codon recognition, and the 3' end, to which the tRNAs corresponding amino acid is attached (by aminoacyl-tRNA synthetases). tRNAs cope with the degeneracy of the genetic code in two manners: having more than one tRNA (with a specific anti-codon) for a particular amino acid; and 'wobble' base-pairing, i.e. permitting non-standard base-pairing at the 3rd anti-codon position. Lineage: Bacteria; Pseudomonadati; Planctomycetota; Planctomycetia; Pirellulales; Pirellulaceae. The record is from RNAcentral.
GCCAGAGUGGCGGAAUUGGCAGACGCACAGGAUUUAAAAUCCUGUGGGGAGUAAUCCCCGUGCGGGUUCGACCCCCGCCUCUGGUA